GCUUACACAUGCAGUCGAACGGCAGCACAGUAAGAGCUUGCUCUUAUGGGUGGCGAGUGGCGGACGGGUGAGGAAUACAUCGGAAUCUACUCUUUCGUGGGGGAUAACGUAGGGAAACUUACGCUAAUACCGCAUACGACCUACGGGUGAAAGCGGAGGACCUUCGGGCUUCGCGCGAUUGAAUGAGCCGAUGUCGGAUUAGCUAGUUGGCGGGGUAAAGGCCCACCAAGGCGACGAUCCGUAGCUGGUCUGAGAGGAUGAUCAGCCACACUGGAACUGAGACACGGUCCAGACUCCUACGGGAGGCAGCAGUGGGGAAUAUUGGACAAUGGGCGCAAGCCUGAUCCAGCCAUGCCGCGUGGGUGAAGAAGGCCUUCGGGUUGUAAAGCCCUUUUGUUGGGAAAGAAAAGCAGUCGGUUAAUACCCGAUUGUUCUGACGGUACCCAAAGAAUAAGCACCGGCUAACUUCGUGCCAGCAGCCGCGGUAAUACGAAGGGUGCAAGCGUUACUCGGAAUUACUGGGCGUAAAGCGUGCGUAGGUGGUGGUUUAAGUCUGUUGUGAAAGCCCUGGGCUCAACCUGGGAAUUGCAGUGGAUACUGGGUCACUA
RNAcentral lists this ribosomal RNA (608 nucleotides) under uncultured bacterium. RNAcentral describes it as "bacterial SSU rRNA". It matches the Rfam family "Bacterial small subunit ribosomal RNA", at positions 46 to 643 of the family's 1533-position model. The record is from RNAcentral.